AUAUCAAUAAGCGGAGGAGAAGAAACCAACAGGGAUUGCCCUAGUAACGGCGAGUGAAGCGGCAACAGCUCAAAUUUGAAAUCUGGCUCUUUCAGGGUCCGAGUUGUAAUUUGCAGAGGGCGCUUUGGCGUUGGCAGCGGUCCAAGUUCUUUGGAACAGGACGUCACAGAGGGUGAGAAUCCCGUACGUGGUCGCUAACCUUCGCCGUGUAAAGCCCCUUCGACGAGUCGAGUUGUUUGGGAAUGCAGCUCUAAAUGGGAGGUAAAUUUCUUCUAAAGCUAAAUACUGGCCAGAGACCGAUAGCGCACAAGUAGAGUGAUCGAAAGAUGAAAAGCACUUUGGAAAGAGAGUCAAAUAGCACGUGAAAUUGUUGAAAGGGAAGCGCUUGCAGCCAGACUUGCCUGUAGUUGCUUAUCCGGACUUUUGUCCGGUGCACUCUUCUGCAGGCAGGCCAGCAUCAGUUUGGGCGGUUGGAUAAAGGUCUCUAUCACGUACCUCCCUUCGGGGUUGGCCUUAUAGGGGAGACGUCAUGCAACCAGCCUGGACUGAGGUCCGCGCAUCUGCUAGGAUGCUGGCGUAAUGGCUGUAAGCGGCCCGUCUUGAAACACGGACCAAGGAGUCUAACAUCUAUGCGAGUGUUUGGGUGUCAAGCCCAGACGCGUAAUGAAAGUGAACGGAGGUGGGAACCUUUUAGGUGCACCAUCGACCGAUCCUGAUGUCUUCGGAUGGAUUUGAGUAAGAGCAUGGCUGUUGGGACCCGAAAGAUGGUGAACUAUGCUUGAAUAGGGUGAAGCCAGAGGAAACUCUGGUGGAGGCUCGCAGCGGUUCUGACGUGCAAAUCGAUCGUCAAAUUUGGGCAUAGGGCGAAAGACUAAUCGAAC
This 881-nucleotide small RNA is filed under the name Wojnowiciella dactylidis. RNAcentral describes it as "eukaryotic LSU rRNA". It matches the Rfam family "Eukaryotic large subunit ribosomal RNA", at positions 40 to 940 of the family's 3401-position model. The record is from RNAcentral. Lineage: Eukaryota; Fungi; Ascomycota; Dothideomycetes; Pleosporales; Phaeosphaeriaceae.